This is a long non-coding RNA of Magnolia sinica, 3103 nucleotides long. RefSeq lists it as uncharacterized. Lineage: Eukaryota; Viridiplantae; Streptophyta; Magnoliopsida; Magnoliales; Magnoliaceae. The record is from RefSeq and is a predicted model, not a curated record. The transcript has 3 exons.
AAUGCAUCAGCCGUGAAUGCCCUGCGAGGUGGGUUUUUUCAAAGGGGAUUCAUGAUCCCGACCCAGUUCCUCAACCUCCCGAUUUUCAUCUCCCUCCUGAAGAAAGCGGAAGAGGAGUUCGGAUUCUAGACGUGCGGUAGCCUGGUUUUUCCCUGCAAGGUGGGUUUUUUCAAAGGGGUUUUGAAGAUUCCCGAUAUGAUGUGCAUUUUGUUUCCAUUUUCUAUAGUAUUUAAGCUGGUUUCUUUUUUGUUUCACCUACAGAUUUUUUUUGAUAGAUGAACAACUUGCUUGCUAUUAUGGAUUCCCAAGAUGCCAUGGGGUUGUCAAUGACAUUGAAGCAGAGGAACCUGCCAUCUGACUAUACCUUUUGUUGAUAUUGUAAGAGAGUAAAUUAGAGAUGGUUUUGCGUAUCUAUUCUUGAACUUGAAAUACAGACAUACGGGUUCUGUUGCUGUAGGAAACCAUGGGAUUCCGGUCAUUGUUGCCCGGCAUUGUUUUGGGAAUGCAAAUAGCAUGGCUCCUCAUGCACAGAUCUAUUCCUAUUUCUCUACUUUCUAGUUGCAGCAAAAAAUAGUUGGAAAGGUUCAUUUCCUCUCUCCAUGUGCAUGUUGCCUCUCUUCUUCAACAUAUGGUUGGAUCAGUUGGUACGUUCAAAAUUUUUAAUUUAUUGGAAUUUUUUUUCCUUAUAUGCACCUAUUUAAUACUUAUCUUUUUUGUAGAUUUUAAUUGCAUUCAUGUUGUUUUAAGAGUAGUGUUUCUUGUUUACAGAUUUUACAUUCCCAUUUGUAGUUGUACAAGGACAAACAUUAUAUUCCACAAUGGGACCCAUGGUUCUGUAAUCUAGACCAUUGGCCUAUUGCAUCGAACUGCAGAUUGAUGAAGGCCUGAAAUUCUCCGUGAUGGGAAACUCACAGGCACCAAUCUUUGGAUAAAUUUCAUUUGGAUGGAGACCAGCACUCUAAUUUUCAACCAAAAUGUACUUGUUUUUUGCCACAAUCAAAAGGCUAGAAUUGUCCCAGCUAAAAGAAUUUAAUACUCUACACAAGGAAGAAUGUAACAGACCAAUGGUCAGGACUGCCUAUUUGGCUUCGUGGAAAUAGAAAUGAAGGAAACAACGUUUCGUAAAAUGCCAUUUAUAAAUGUUGAGAAAGGUAAAAUAGUUUGUUUUAAGGCCAGUUUGAAUAAAUUGCAGAUUGGAGAAUGCAACUAGUUUGCAUCAACAAGGAAUUUAUACCUAUUUGGGAAGCAAUUGCAUUUGCCGGCUGUAUUCUCGUUCCUUUUAUGCAGAGAAGGAUUGUUGGUCUUCAUCAGAAUACAUCAGUUGGAUCAACUGACAUAAUUGGAUGUUUUCCUUUUUAAAAAAAAAUAAAAAUAAAUCUUUUUUCUUCACCUUGAGCUUGGAGGAAGAUUAUACUGUGGUUUUGACCAAAUCUAUAUGCCUAUUUUCAUAUCCAAAUACAAAAUUCAAGGGCGUUUGAUGAAUCUGAGUUGAAUGGAUCACUUUGGGAAUUGGGAAAAACAUGCAAGACAGAUAAAUAAUCAUUUUUUGUUUUUUGGGUUUCUUCUUUUGUUUUGUAUUUUCAAUGUAAUGGGCCCCAAUUAACCCAAUCAUAUUUGAUGCGUGUUCUAUUAGGGCCCAUUUGGAUGAUUUUCCUGUUAUUCAUGUUUUAACGCCUUUUUUCCACUGAUUUUUUUUAAUCAAUUUUUCCUUAUCUUUUUUAUUUUUAUUGUAAAUGAUACAUGAUUAGGUUGCUUGUGCUCAUGCUUGGAGGAGUAAGGAAAGAAAAGUUGAUUCAGGCAUCUUUGGACAUUUUUGGGCAUUUUGUGCCUUUAUUAUUAUUAUUAUUAUUAUUAUUAUUAUUAUUAUUAUUAUUAUUAUUGUGGUUUACUCUUUAUCCUAAUUAGGUUGCUUGUGCUCAUGCUUGAAAUUAUUAUAAGCAUGUUUUUUUACUAGAACAUGUAUGUAACUUGUUUAUAUAUAAGCAUGUAUUUAUUGUCUUUUUUAAAAUUUGGUUUUUUUUUUUCCAUUUUUUCAUUUCUUUUUGCUGUUUAAGGUCAGGCAGGUCAGGCUAAUAGAAACCAUUAAUGCCCCAUCAAAUGUAUGCCACAAAAUACGAAUGAUACACAUGUUUUCCUUUUUUACUACAUAUAAAUGUGCGUGUCUUUUUACCAUAGAAACCAUCAGAAAUAGCUAUUUACUACAUAUAAAUGGGAUUGAAUGCCUACCGUUGACAAUCAUUUGGGGAAGCAAUUGGUAGCUUAUUGUAGGUCUAAUGCAAUGUGUUUCAAGGUGUAGCAGGCGAAGUUGCUUUGACUUCAGGUGGUGGAUUGAAGAAGCUAUCUUUAUUAACUGAUAACUAUAAAGAGGUUGCAAUGGUAAAUCAUUUAUACCAACUCUCUUACCUGAUAUUCUCCCAAUUUCCAUUUUCUUUUAUGCUUAUUUCUUACCACAUUAAUGCCAAUGUUUUACUCAAACUCUCUAAGUGCAUCAUAAGAAUACAAUUCCAUGAAUGUAAAGUGGGCCAAGCACAGGUUAAGGUUUGACCCAUUUUCUAUUUAAGGCAGAGUGGAAAACAUAACCUGCCUUUAUGCAGGCUGUCAUUUCCCACUUUUGAUGCUAUAAAUCAUAGCUGAGGUAAGAACACGAAGGUCCUAUUCUUAUCUCACUUGUGAGUUGGACACAACCACCUGUCAUGAGAUAUUGAUGGGUUAAUUGACAUUGGAGUACUUAUUCCAAUGCAAUUAGUAGUAGUCCUUGUGUUUUGCAUGAGUUGGACAUAGCACACCUAUAUAUAUUGAUUUUUAUUUAUGUUUUAUUUUAUUUCUAGCUUUCUUUUUUAAGAAAAAUCUUGAUUUGGAAUUUCUUUUUCUUUAGAAUAAAAUUUUGAGUUUGUAGUAAAUUUCAGAAGCAGAACUGAUCCGUGCCCAAAAUUAGCUAGGGUGGUAACUGACCGAACAUCAGGAUAUUUGAAGGGCUUUGGGUUUGUCACAUGCCCUAUGAUUGAAGAGAUGGAGCAGGGCAUAAAGGGAAUGGAUGGUCUGGUAAUUGCUCAUUGCCUAGGGGCUGCAAUGUUCCUCAUUACUUUCAGAUGUGUUGCACUAG